This 131-nucleotide ribosomal RNA is filed under the name Klebsiella pneumoniae. RNAcentral's name for it is "partial 16S ribosomal RNA". It matches the Rfam family "Bacterial small subunit ribosomal RNA", at positions 1 to 122 of the family's 1533-position model. Lineage: Bacteria; Pseudomonadati; Pseudomonadota; Gammaproteobacteria; Enterobacterales; Enterobacteriaceae. The record is from RNAcentral.
ACUUAAAUUGAAGAGUUUGAUCAUGGCUCAGAUUGAACGCUGGCGGCAGGCCUAACACAUGCAAGUCGAGCGGUAGCACAGAGAGCUUGCUCUCGGGUGACGAGCGGCGGACGGGUGAGUAAUGGUCUGGG